AGAAAACCCUUUUGGUGAGUAGAAGAGAAGCAGUGUAGCUGAGUACAAUAAAUACACCUUCUGGAAAUUUAUAUAUAUAUAUGAUACAUGCAAGCCUACUAAUACUACCAAGGUAGGAAGAAAAAUUUGGUUUGUUCAACUAUUGGUAUGUCCUAAGAAAUAUUUCCAGAAUAUUUUUCCCCAGUCACUUACAGUGUCCUUAUCUUGAGCAAAUAUAUCUAGGCAAUUCCCUUUUACCUGAAUUUUUUCUGGGAACAUUGACCACAAAUUUUUUCCUUGAUAUAAUAGCCAGUUUCAGUUGUGCCACAAAAACGUGUCUUGAUUUCAUAAAAAGUUUGCUGUAGGCAGGUUCUGGGUGUGGGGCUUGGCAAAAAUAAUGGGCCAAACUUUAUGCCAGCUGUGAAACAGUUUAUCUUUAAAGUUUCUCUGUGAAUACCUUGGGAGAGAAAUUUAGGCCUUGCUCUAAAAAUGAUGAACUUGGAAGAGUGAAUAAUACUGAGUUUCAGGCAGAGCAGAUCAUAGAUGGAUGGCUUCAUACUGCUAAGUGCCACUUUUGUCAGAACUAAGGUGCACUGUAUGAAGACUGCUGUGCUUGUUAGUUUUUUAAUGCUGUG
This 614-nucleotide long non-coding RNA is filed under the name Marmota monax (woodchuck). Lineage: Eukaryota; Metazoa; Chordata; Mammalia; Rodentia; Sciuridae. The record is from RNAcentral.